Molecule: ribosomal RNA, 421 nt
Filed under: uncultured bacterium
Lineage: Bacteria
Description: bacterial SSU rRNA
Rfam family: Bacterial small subunit ribosomal RNA
Source: RNAcentral
UAAGGAAUAUUGGUCAAUGGACGCAAGUCUGAACCAGCCAUGCCGCGUGAAGGAUGAAGGUCCUCUGGAUUGUAAACUUCUUUUAUCUGGGACGAAAACGGGAUUUUUAUCUCAAUUGACGGUACCAGAGGAAUAAGCACCGGCUAACUCCGUGCCAGCAGCCGCGGUAAUACGGAGGGCGCGAGCGUUAUCCGGAUUUACUGGGUUUAAAGGGUGCGUAGGUGGGCUUAUAAGUCAGUGGUGAAAUCUCCGAGCUUAACUUGGAAACUGCCGUUGNUACUAUAGGUCUUGAAUUAUCUGGAGGUAAGCGGAAUAUGUCAUGUAGCGGUGAAAUGCUUAGAUAUGACAUAGAACACCAAUUGCGAAGGCAGCUUACUACAUAUAAAUUGACGCUGAGGCACGAAAGCGUGGGGAUCAAACA